CCUACGGGAGGCAGCAGUGGGGAAUAUUGCACAAUGGGGGAAACCCUGAUGCAGCGACGCCGCGUGAGUGAAGAAGUAUUUCGGUAUGUAAAGCUCUAUCAGCAGGGAAGAAGAAAGACGGUACCUGACUAAGAAGCCCCGGCUAACUACGUGCCAGCAGCCGCGGUAAUACGUAGGGGGCAAGCGUUAUCCGGAUUUACUGGGUGGAAAGGGAGAGUAGACGGCUGUGCAAGUCUGAAGUGAAAGCCCAGGGCUCAACCCUGGGACUGCUUUGGAAACUGGGGAGCUAGAGUGCUGGAGAGGUAAGUGGAAUUCCUAGUGUAGCGGUGAAAUGCGUAGAUAUUAGGAGGAACACCAGUGGCGAAGGCGGCUUACUGGACAGUAACUGACGUUGAGGCUCGAAAGCGUGGGGAGCAAACAGGAUUAGAUACCCUGGUAGUC
Molecule: ribosomal RNA, 441 nt
Filed under: uncultured bacterium
Lineage: Bacteria
Description: partial 16S ribosomal RNA
Rfam family: Bacterial small subunit ribosomal RNA
Source: RNAcentral